AUACUUACCUGUACAGGAGCCACGUAGACAAAAGCGUUCCCCCAGGCGAGCCUUUCCAUUGCAUACUCGGUUUACGUGCUGAAGCCCUCGAUUCGCCCCAAUGUGGGCAACUCGUACCAUAUUAUUUAGUGUGGACUGCGUUCGCCUAUCCUCC
This 154-nucleotide small nuclear RNA is filed under the name Mytilus galloprovincialis (Mediterranean mussel). It matches the Rfam family "U1 spliceosomal RNA". From Rfam's summary of the family: U1 is a small nuclear RNA (snRNA) component of the spliceosome (involved in pre-mRNA splicing). Its 5' end forms complementary base pairs with the 5' splice junction, thus defining the 5' donor site of an intron. There are significant differences in sequence and secondary structure between metazoan and yeast U1 snRNAs, the latter being much longer (568 nucleotides as compared to 164 nucleotides in human). Lineage: Eukaryota; Metazoa; Mollusca; Bivalvia; Mytilida; Mytilidae. The record is from RNAcentral.